RNAcentral lists this ribosomal RNA (301 nucleotides) under uncultured bacterium. Its description in RNAcentral is "partial 16S ribosomal RNA". It matches the Rfam family "Bacterial small subunit ribosomal RNA", at positions 509 to 807 of the family's 1533-position model. The record is from RNAcentral.
CAGUCGCCGCGGUAAAACGAAGGGUGCAAGCGUUACUCGGAAUUACUGGGCGUAAAGCGUGCGUAGGUGGUGGUUUAAGUCCGUUGUGAAAGCCCUGGGCUCAACCUGGGAAUUGCAGUGGAUACUGGGUCACUAGAGUGUGGUAGAGGAUAGUGGAAUUUCCGGUGUAGCAGUGAAAUGCGUAGAGAUCGGAAGGAACAUCUGUGGCGAAGGCGACUAUCUGGGCCAACACUGACACUGAGGCACGAAAGCGUGGGGAGCAAACAGGAUUAGAUACCCCGGUAGUCCCUGUCUCUUAUAC